Molecule: ribosomal RNA, 253 nt
Filed under: uncultured bacterium
Lineage: Bacteria
Description: partial 16S ribosomal RNA
Rfam family: Bacterial small subunit ribosomal RNA
Source: RNAcentral
GACAGAGGAUGCAAGCGUUAUCCGGAAUGAUUGGGCGUAAAGCGUCUAUAGGUGGCUUUUUAAGUCUGCCGUCAAAUCCCAGGGCUUAACCCUGGACAGGCGGUGGAAACUACCAAGCUGGAGUACGGUAGGGGCAGAGGGAAUUUCCGGUGGAGCGGUGAAAUGCGUAGAGAUCGGAAAGAACACCAACGGCGAAGGCACUCUGCUGGGCCGACACUGACACUGAGAGACGAAAGCUAGGGGAGCAAAUGGG